Molecule: ribosomal RNA, 466 nt
Filed under: uncultured bacterium
Lineage: Bacteria
Description: partial 16S ribosomal RNA
Rfam family: Bacterial small subunit ribosomal RNA
Source: RNAcentral
GAUGAAAGAGGGAGGCGUGCUUAACACAUGCAAGUCGAACGGAAAGGCCCAAGCUUGCUUGGGUACUCGAGUGGCGAACGGGUGAGUAACACGUGGGUGAUCUGCCCUGCACUUCGGGAUAAGCCUGGGAAACUGGGUCUAAUACCGGAUAGGACCACAUUUUGGAUGGUGUGGUGGAAAGUUUUUCGGUGUGGGAUGAGCUCGCGGCCUAUCAGCUUGUUGGUGGGGUAAUGGCCUACCAAGGCGUCGACGGGUAGCCGGCCUGAGAGGGUGUACGGCCACAUUGGGACUGAGAUACGGCCCAGACUCCUACGGGAGGCAGCAGUGGGGAAUAUUGCACAAUGGGCGCAAGCCUGAUGCAGCGACGCCGCGUGGGGGAUGACGGCCUUCGGGUUGUAAACUCCUUUCGCUAGGGACGAAGCGUUAUGUGACGGUACCUGGAGAAGAAGCACCGGCUAACUACGUG